Molecule: long non-coding RNA, 154 nt
Organism: Lemur catta (Ring-tailed lemur)
Lineage: Eukaryota; Metazoa; Chordata; Mammalia; Primates; Lemuridae
Exons: 3
Source: RefSeq, a predicted model, not a curated record
AAAACACCCUGGGAGAGGCAACUUCAAGAAGCUGGCAUUGCUCAAUAGGCAUGGCUUAUUUCUGCUUCUCAUGGCAACAGAUGCAAUGACGAGAUUAGAAUUGGAGGAUUUGUUUCCAAGGUGGCUCAGUCAUCCUGGCUGAGACAGGGGCCUC